GCCGAGGUGGUGGAAUUGGUAGACACGCUAUCUUGAGGGGGUAGUGCCUUUAUAGGCGUGCGGGUUCAAGUCCCGCUCUCGGCA
RNAcentral lists this transfer RNA (84 nucleotides) under Salinivibrio sp. KP-1. It matches the Rfam family "tRNA". Rfam says of the family: Transfer RNA (tRNA) molecules are approximately 80 nucleotides in length. Their secondary structure includes four short double-helical elements and three loops (D, anti-codon, and T loops). Lineage: Bacteria; Pseudomonadati; Pseudomonadota; Gammaproteobacteria; Vibrionales; Vibrionaceae. The record is from Rfam by way of RNAcentral.